UACGGGGGGGGCAAGCGUUGUUCGGAAUUACUGGGCGUAAAGGGCUCGUAGGCGGCCAACUAAGUCAGACGUGAAAUCCCUCGGCUUAACCGGGGAACUGCGUCUGAUACUGCAUCGCUUGAAUCCGGGAGAGGUGAGUGGAAUUCCGAGUGUAGAGGUGAAAUUCGUAGAUAUUCGGAAGAACACCAGUGGCGAAGGCGGCUCACUGGACCGGUAUUGACGCUGAGGUGCGAAAGCGUGGGGAGCAAACAGG
RNAcentral lists this ribosomal RNA (253 nucleotides) under uncultured bacterium. RNAcentral's name for it is "partial 16S ribosomal RNA". It matches the Rfam family "Bacterial small subunit ribosomal RNA", at positions 524 to 776 of the family's 1533-position model. The record is from RNAcentral.